RNAcentral lists this non-coding RNA (27 nucleotides) under Rattus norvegicus (Norway rat). Lineage: Eukaryota; Metazoa; Chordata; Mammalia; Rodentia; Muridae. The record is from RNAcentral.
UACUAGCUGAGCAACCUUAACCAAGGC